UAUAUAUAUAUAUAUAUUCUGCAUAAUCACACAGACAUAUAUAUUUAAAUGCAGAAUAUAAAGAUAUAUCCAAACACUUAGUAUUAAUGGCAUUUAUCUCCUCAUCUUUAUUUUAUACCACCCACUUCUCAUGUUGAAAAAUAUCAGUUUUAUUGGUUUGUUUUUUGUUUGUGUUUAUUUUUGUAAUCCUAGAAACCAUGUGCGUUUCUUUCAAAAAAAAGGAGGUGAUGUCAGUGUCUUGGCCUGAUUCACUCACCAAUGUUUAAUUUCUUUCCCUGAGUGGAUCCUGUGCCGAUGAGGAGAUGCUAUUUUUAAACCUUGUUGAGAUUCUUCAUUAUCAUUAACUUGUAGACAUUAGUAUUAUUUUGAUUUUUUUAGCAACUGUGGAAUUAUGAACUGGUCUACAGAAUAUUUAAUCAAUCAAAAAUGUAAUUUGUAAUUUUUCUUUUUGCUAAAUCAGCCCUACUUGACAUACUGUACCUAUAUGACUAUGUGCAGACUAUGAACCUCACAGUUUUUAAGAACAUCCUCCAUGUUUUUUCUCAUUUUUUACUUUUGUUAAUCAUUUUCUGACAUAAUGUGGUCUUUCAUUUUGUUAAAUAUCGACUAUGAUCUAGAAUAUACCUGUAAAUAAAACAAAUAUAUAGAUUAUAUGUAUUUGUAUCAAUUGACCCUCAAAAUCUUGGAGGUUCUGCUCAUCACGACUUCCUGGUGUUUGUAAAGCCUGUUUUCGCUCCUUUUGAAAUGUUCUUUCUCCAACCCUGCUCUCUGGUCUUUAAUUACCACUCACUUUUUUUUUUUUUACUUCCUUUAAUUUCCCCUGCUAGCUGUUAACAAGCCAGCUCUUGUUUUCACACCUAUAGCCUCAAUGAGGGCGUGAAGUCAGCAUCAGAGAUCUGCUGGUAUCAUUUAGCUGAGGAUGGGAAGUUAGUUCACUCACUAACCAUUUAAAUUGUUAAUGAACCAUCAAUUCAAGGUCCUGUCACAUCCUCAUGCUCAAUGUGGACAGGAACCUUUCCCUGCCCCCCGCAUUAGCAAGGGUAUACAAGAGAUAAUACAGAGGUUUGUCUUUCACACCAUGGAACUUCAGAAACUUGAGAGGUUUUCAAAAUGUAUUCUGUUUAAAUGAAUAUACCUCCUAAUCUCAAAUUUGAACAAUAUAGGGAUUUCAAAGGUAGAGAUGUCCACUAAAGGAAGAAAAAAACAGUAGCACCCAAAGGUGAGUUUCAUUCCUUUUAAAGGUUUUCUACAAAGCCUCAGUAAAUCCGCUGCUGUCCAGGGGCCUAAAACGCCAUGGUUUACUACACAAAUAAAUCAUUCUCUUAUGGACAAAUGCAGCUAUGCUAAAGGCUCAGUUGCAACAUGCCAUGUUGAUUGAUUUUCUCCCUAGAGCAGUUUGAAACCAUGUGUUUUUGUUCAGCCAUGUUUUGCUGUGGGAUGCAGAAAGAAGUCAGGACUCAAUGAAACAGAGCAGUGCAAUGCAACCAACGGAAGACUAAGACAACCAAAAACUUCACACUUCCAGCAUGUCAUUUCUGAACAGUGGGAAAACCUUGAGAUGCUUCUUCGUGAGCUAAAAUCCUGGACUGAAGCCUUUUGGAACUAAAAAAAAAGACUGGUAAAAAUGGCCCCAAUGCCAAAACUGAAACCAUGGAAGCUUGUGCACCGUGUUACUCUACUUUUGACUUCAUGUAAAGAUCCGAGCCUUUUGAAAACAGUCAAAGAAUAUUUGGGGGGAAAAGUUGGAGGGACUAACAAAAAAACAAAACUAACAAAGUUCCAUCGACAAGAAUAGAGCAUAUACAGUACAUACAGGCAAUGAAAUUAAUCAAAUGAAGCCAAUCUCAGCAAAUUAGUUUUUUCCUUUGUAUAAGGGCCAAGUGCUAUCACUUUCAAACUGUUACUUCAAACUGAAACAAUAAUUGGUUCAAAGCCACUGUGUAUGUAGAUAUGUUGACUUUGUAUUAAAGAAAUGUUGUCUGAAUAACGUUUUACCUGUGAUUUUUUGGCUUAUAAAGUAUGUUAUGAGUUGACGGGAUUAUUCAAGAUACAUUUUAUACAUAUCCUGAUCUGUGUAUAAUACGUAAACAGCUGGCAGCAGUGCUUCCAUAGCGUUCCAUGAGCACUUACUUGGUCCAUCAUUCAUUGCACUUGAGCCUGUGCUACGGCCUCUCGCAGGACAAGCGAUGAAGCACACGGGUGGUGCCCUCCUUUGUUGAUAGAUGGCUUGAUUAGCUUCCUUCUAUAUUUAUCCACCAGCCUUUUUGCAAACAAAUCCCAAUGGGUCCCUAAUCCCCUCUUCAAGCUUGACAAAUUUCACCAAGACGGCCAAUAUUGGUGUCGAGCUAAAGCUUCACCUACUUGCUCUCUCUCCCUCACAUCCAUCUUCAGGUAUUUCAUAACCUAAAAUUAAAAAGUUCGCAAAGUAAAAAUAACUGUACCAAAUCUUGCUGUGUCUUUCUAGCAUUCGAGAUGACAUGGCUACGAAUCACAGAGUUGAAAUACUGCUGGUAUCCACACAAUACUGGGUAUGUACUUACAGCGAAACUGCACAGGGCUGGAAGGAAGUGAGGGAAUAAGGGGGGGACCACUUUCGAUAUUCUUUCAAUUAUCAUAUGUUAACCUAUUUUUUGAAAAGCAUGCUUGAGGUGCGUUAGUCUGUGCACACUAAGUUGAAGACAGCGCUUUGGAAAUGUGUGAGAAAACAUUAUUACUUAUUAAUUACAAUGCAUAUAAAGUCCCAGAUGUAUUAAUUUGCACUUCUCCUCAGCAUUUCUUCACAUAUACUUACUAUUAUCCUAACACUUUAAUAGAGAAUCUCGUGGUGGUUUGUUGGAAUAUUUCAAGUCAAGUCUCUCCUAACUACUCACUGUUCAUUGCCAUCCGAUUCACACGCGCAUCAUUAGCUGACGGGUUGCCAACGAGCUCUUUGUCACCUGAGACCGCAAAUCUGCCACAUCGCAAGAGGAAUGUCCUUUAUUAAAGGCUAAUAUAAGCAAAAUGACACCCUGUUUCAAGGAUGAUGUCACUAAUUGUCUUGCUCAGAAAGCUGGUUCCGUCCAUUCUUUUCUAAUAGGGGCGAACCAACAGGCCGAGCGUGAGGGCAGGCGGAGAAGUGAAUUAGGGCGCUGAUUAUGCAGUGAUUCAGACAGCAGCUCAUUAGGACCCAGCUAAGCAAGCAAUCAACGAAUCAAUGUGACAGUGGACCCAAAAGCCACAGAAAUUUGUAAUAAAUGGCGAGGCGAUAAAUUGGAUUAUCCAUUGCCCCGUGGCCAAGCUCUUUCUGUUGCAUAUGACAAAUCCAUUCAAUCAUACCAAGCAAAAUGACGAAAGAACCGUAAAAAGGCGCCUGGAGUUGCUCCGGACGUGGAGGUUAUCGCUCUGAAAUGUGCCUUGUUAAGGUUCUGGUUCUCUCGAGGUCAUUUCCAUAUGAUAUUUAGGGCUCUAAAAUAUUCAUGAGACACCAUUAGGUGUUUACGACCGCCUUUUAUAAUAAGAGAUUUACUGACGUUUGAACUCCAGCCAGAGUAGUAAAGGUGUCCGAGUCGUGCCGGGCCACGUGCCUACUGAAUCACAGGGGGAGUAGCAACUCAACAUUGAGAUGUUGAUGAUGUGAAGGAGCAAAGAAGGAGGGAUUAUAAAUAUAAUUCAGAGACAGCAUUGUUCUCUUUUAGCCUGAUGGUAUCAAGACAUGGCUUCAUUUCAUCUACGUGCAUCUUUUUCACUGAACGGUAAUAGAGGACAUGGUGAAAACAUUUUUUUGAUAGAUAGAUUGAUCGAGCAAUAGAAGAUAGAUAAAUAAAAAACAUAGAAAGAUGGAUAGAUAUCUUAACCUAGAUAAGUAGGUAGGUAAGUGAUGGAUUUAAAAAAUAAAUCGCUGAAAAUGAGUUCUGCAUUUAUCCUGUUGAAACUGUAAGGCGGAAUACGUAUGGCUGAAUACUGCCCCCCCCCGAAGAAAACUGUUUUAAAAAAAGCGUUGCUGCCAUCUGUGGGAUAUCCUACGGUAUUUCAGCAUCACACUGAAGACCAAUUUCUGUUGAAUCAGAAAUCAACCUAAUCUAUUGUCUUCUCCAGACUUCACGCAUCAAUGGGAGACAUGGUUUGUAACUUAUUUAUACAUCUUACACAAAUGUAAUCUGUGCAUUUAGACAAAUAGUUGUGGUUUGGACAGAAACGGCAUUGAUACUGAGCGUGCAUCCCCCCCCCCCUGCAGUCUGAGCAUCUGCCAGCUGUAAACAGUGACAUGACUCCUGUUUACGCUCUUACGCUGUUAUUUCCUAUAAUCGGUUUUAUGUUCCCCUCCAUCCUUUCAGUCUCUCUAUUUCCAUCCGCAGCUCUAGAAGAAGGCCCAUGCUCUCUCUGCCUCCCUUUCUUUAUUGCUCUUUUCAAUCACUUCCCUCAUCCACCAUUUCUAUUUAUUUUCUCUCUGUCACCGUUAUUCCUCGUCCCCCCUCCACUCCUCUGUGUACAUCUGACAGGGGCCUUGUUCAAGGGAUGGCUCUGCUGAUUGAUCGGUCCAAUGCUGGUCAAAUAGAGUGAAAUAUUACAUUGUUGUUGUUGUUUUAAUGCUGUGUUAGAAAAAGCAGGCUUUCAUUUUAAAAGGCUUUGGCAGGAAGAAUGUUCUGAAAGAUGGUAGUUCCAGAAGGAAAAGCUUUCAUCCUUUUCUGACACUUAAAUUACCUAAACAAUGGAAUUGUUUGGAAUACCACUUAAAUCAGAUUGUUCAUUUUAAACUUCAUAACCAAAAUGGAAAGAAGAAAACUGCUCUUCUACAACACAAAACUCAUUUGAGCUUUUGGUCUCAAAUGUCAACUAAAACACUUGGUUCAUCACAAAGUAGGCUCAGUACUGUAGGGUUAAUGGCUCUGUAAUGGGAAACUGCGUGUACGAACCAUGGCGGAGAAUAAAACCCCACAGAGCUUUUCUGCUCCGUGAUGCAGCCAAGUGAAUUUUACAGUAAUGAUGAAGGAUACGUGAAACCAUCAGCAGUGGAACCAUUAAAGCCUCCCUGUAAACAUGUCCGUUUAAGUACAAUUAGAUCACAUUACAGCCGCGACGGAAGCGGAGAAAUUGAGUUUCAGCUGAAAGAUGACGGUAAUUGUUUCAUAAUUCUAUUGUUAAUAUCACAGGUGAAGCCUUUGAGCGCCGUGUGGAACAUCUCAUCCUAGUGGGUCCACACACUGAAAUGUGUGCGAUGCUAAGUCAGUGGCAUGAACAUGCAAAUAUGAGCCCUGUAAAAAGAGGGCGUUCACUAACCACUGCUUCCACUGAAGUUCACCUCUAUGGAGCUUUUUGUGUUGUGGGGGACAAUUCCGUAUAUGUAUGACUUUAUGAUGCUAUGAAUUGGCUAAUUACCUGUUCUGUAUAUUCUCACUGCGGUUGUGUGGUGUUGACUUGAAGUCAAGUGCAGCAAGUGGGCCACUGACAUUUGACCUAGCAAGUUAACAACAUGGUAAAGUCAAACAAAACCCACCAUUCUGAGGCAGAAUUGAACUACUCUGCAUGUCUGAAACGCAUCAUACCUUCAAGACCGUCGGGCCACGAUGAUGAGAUCCUUCAAAGAGAAGGCAACGCUCUCCCUCUGGUGUCCCAACGGUUCCACUGCAUCUUUAAGAAGAUUUACGGUACUAUUGCUACUUUGAUCAGGGUUGAUAAUGUUGCCCUGAGAGAAACAACCACUGAGGUAUCUGAACACAAUCAUUACAUUAUUCGAUUAUAAAAAUCAGGUCUAAUUGAGCAGUGUCAGGUGAGUAAGGGGAGAGAGAGAAAGAGACAGAGGGACGUGGAAAAAGAGAAAGAGCUGAGGGAUAAAUUAGGUUGCGAUGUGCCAGGAUGGACGAAUUACCAAGUAGGAGAAUAUAGCAAAGCGUCUCUGUCACUGGGCUUUAUGCACUAUGGAGAAGAAGAGAGACCCCAUUGUGUUGGGACUUUAAAUACUGGCCAGUACCCACUACAAGGACAAGACACUUGAUCAUGUCGAACUAGUCAAAUAAAAAUAAGUAUGUUUGCAUAUUAUCAUAAGGGGUUCGACAGAGAAACUUUGGGGACCACUGGUUUAAUGGAUGUUAACGAUACGCACCCGUCAUCACUUUUCAUAUAGACGCCAGGAUGUCUGCCUCCAUGUUCAGUUGUUUGUGUUGGCUGAUACGCUUUGAUUAGAAUUAAGUACACUGUGUCUUUUUAGGCGCUAAGAGUUUUUGUCAAUUUGUGUACAGAUGCCUUCAGACGUUGUUGACAGAACUGAUGUGUUUUCUUUGUUUUGGAUUUUUGGUUUCCUGUUUUUUGCCUCCCGUGUUCCUGUAUUGCCGUUCCCUCUUCGACAACAUGCCUCCUCUGAAUCAGCAUCAUUAGUCCUUCCCUGCGGCCACAGUUCUUCCGAGCCAAUCAGAUCCCUUCCUGCUUCUAAUGGUUUUACCGUUAAUAGGACUGUUGCCUUUUAUCUGCUCACCUGAGCUUAUUACAAUAUAUUCUUUCAAAUUCAUUGAAAGUGACUUCUGACUACACUGUUAUUCAAUGUGAGUACAGGAAUUCUGUCUAAAGUGAAUUAUUGGUAUUCUUAGAAUAAAUAGGCGACACGCUUGAGUUCAUUACAUUGAGGUGCCCUGUCUGAUCCUGGCUGAGCAGUUCCCUGUCAGAUUUGUCUGACUAUUUCCCAAGGUAUUGAGGGGUCAAAGUUCUUAGAAGCAAGUGCCGGUCAAUGAAACACUGAUUUAUUUCAAGCUGCCCAGCAACUCGGCUGCCAAAAGAUCCUGAGGCUCAGCUGGCCAAUAACUCAACAUCCCAGACACCAAGACCCCGAACCAAACCCAACCGAAGUCAGUCAUGUUGCAUCUGCUCAUAAAUGGGGGGGUCCCAGGCCUCAAUGUACCACAAACCAAACAUGUGUUGAAUAAGACUUAUAGAAUGCAUGUUAACUGAGGUAUUAGACAAGUAAGUAGGGUCAUUUUCUCGUAGACUUUGAUGUAAUCUGACUUCUUUCUUCAACCAAAUAACUGCUGGUGGCCAUUUGAAAGUGCGCAACCUUAAGCACUCACACAUUGGUUUCACUUAUCAAACCAAAUAUGGACAUCUGGUUUGUUCCAGAGGUGGAGGUCCCAGGAUCACGUCUCAUCUGCUCUCAUUCAUCGGCCCGUGACCACCCAUGGCUGGCUUCCUGUAUCGCAGCCUUUCAAAGUUGCUGUGCGGUUCAGAGUGCUGUUUGGAUGAUGUUUAAACCACCACCCUUCUUAUAGAAAAUUCAAUGAAAUGUUUGAAUAUUCCACACGUCCACAGAUACUCAUUUUAAUGAGUAAAAAAAUGUUCACGCUGCCAAGACAGUGUCGUUUCAAUCAGAGUUUACCAGCAGCAUGACUCACUUUGAGUAACUGGUCCCUGAACUUCGGUUUUAACCUCACUACACAGAUAGAGGGGAUCAAAAGGAGAGGACAACAUGCUUUACAGCUAUAUGUCGCCGCAUGAUAAUGUCUACAAGGGGACUGAUACAAAACCUGCAACUCUCUCAGCAUCUCCCAGGGAAUUUAAUUUCAAAUGUAUUUCUGCUUGGCUCGAAGAACUAAAGAUGUUUUUCCGCACAACGUCUAUGGAGACAUUUGCCAUCUGAAUGAGCCUCUGUGCGAGUUCACGCACAGUUCAGUCUGUGGUUUUCUUGGGCAUGUUUGCUGCACUAAAUCUUUUCUGCUGCACUUUUACAGCUUAUUAGAGAUACAAGAAAACCCAACUUGUGUGAGGAUGUUUUUUGUAGACAGAUGUAUGUCAGCUAUGGAAACAUUAUAGAAGAUUGAAUAAAAAAUGUUCGGCUCUUUGUCCCAGCUGCUGACAGUAACCAAAAAGUCUCAUGGUUUACUGCUGAGCAGUUUCACUGGAUUAAAGUUAACAAAGUUAAAACAACUUGAUUUUUGAAAAAAAUAGAAUUAACAAAUCUUUUAGCUGUUGGGAGAAUUCAAAUACAAUUCAGUUUAACGGAUAGAAGGUCGGUGACCUCUUGAACUGAGACAUGGUGUUCUUAUGAUAAACAGAUCGGCUCAAUAGCUCAAUCAAUUGAGGACUCAUGAAUGACAAUGCUAUCCCUCCCGUUUGGUGAUGAGGUGACCGGUGGAGAGCUGAACCAGCCUCUCCUCUCCUAAGUGUGUUCAUGUUUGUUCCGCUUUUUUUUUUGCAAGCAUAGAUUAAUGAAUUGACUUGUUGGACAUAACGUAGUCCGUCAAAUGAAGUGUUAAAACCUGCAUUAAAAUUCAAUAAGGAUUUUAAGCAUGAAGCAGGGAGGAAAAAGUAUGGGAAAUAGGGUCAUCUUCUAAAUAGGUAUCAUGUGGGAGCAUUAAACUGAAACUGUGGUUCAAGGGCCUGAGUUCUUUGUGUAAAAUCCUCAAUAAAAUGUAAUUCUCAAAUCAAGAAUGGAAAGUUUUUAUUGUGAGGAAGGUUGUUAUUGGAUUGUCUGUGAUUGAAUUACAGCUUUUUGUCAGUAAACCGGGUCAAGCUUUUGGUAGUUUAAAGUCAGUUCAAUAUAGGUUUUAAAUAGACAUUUAAAAGUAGAAUUUAUACAAGAAUGUUACAUGGAAAUUAAGCAUAAAGCCUCCUUUUUUGUCAGUGUCCGCUUUCCUUGGCACGUCAACCCUUUACAGCUCAAUGUAUCUUUAAGAUUUGACCUCUACAUCAUACACUUUCACAACAGCUGAUCUGAUGAUUACCUAAUGUGUUUUUGAACAGUAUUACGAUGGAGGUCAGCGUUUGUUUCUCGUGGCCCUUCUGUGGGUGUGACCCAAAAUGAUCCACAGCUGCCCGAGAUCAGUUUAAUGAGCGAAUGGUAAAUUGAACACUUUCUUGUCCAAAACCGUAAAAGAAGCCGGCUUCUCUGGUCCAGUGUCACUAAUCCAAAACCUUUGAAAUGCACCUUUUACGGAACCCCGUCUUGCUUAUCCACCACAUAAGAUCCAUUUAUGCGACAUUGAAUGGAAAGCGGUUUUCGGUGUCCCAGAUGUCUCUGAUCUUUGCUUUACUCUGCACUGCAUCUGUAUUCUGCCAUGUCUACACACACACACACACACACACACACACACACACACACACACACACACACACACACACACACACACACAGUGUAAGGCCCAAAGGAUUACUUAAGUGUAAUAAAUUGUUGGAAUCUGAGCACCCACUGUCUCAUUCCUAAUCUCAACCCCUUUGAUCUACCACAUGGUGGAAUGAGAGGAAUAUCAGCAGCCCUCCUGUAAGACGAAAACAUCCAAACUUCCCAAAAGCAAGACCGUAACUUAAAAAGGUAAAGUCAGUGCAUCCGCUCAGUUGCACUUCAGCGCUUUAGAUUUUGCGAGGGAACUUGUACCUCCAUUAGACUAUCCAAAAAAAAAGAAAACCAUAAAAAAUCUUAAUAAUUAAUUUCAGCUGAAAGUUAUAGCACCACUUUUGCUACAUUAGCAUCAGAGGAUUCCUCUGUAUCAGACAGGAUUCUGUCGCUAGCAGAAGAAUAAUUCUUGUGAUUUUGUGGUAAUGUAAAAAUGUAAUGAUUGUUAGCAAAUGUCGUAGUAAAAAUGUUUCUUAUCAUUGUGUGUGUGUGUGUGUGUGUGUGUGUGUGUGUGUGUGUGUGUGUGAUUACUCACGUUGUAGGGACAUACAUGUCUAAAACAGCUCAACAACUCUAGCACUGAUUCCCUGGAAACCUUACUCUGAGAAUGAGGGUCCAGGGAGUUACAUUGUCCAGCUGUUCUUCAAUAAAUAGUUUUAUCAUGUAACAACCACUAAAACUAACAAAUUAAAAUUGUAAUGUUUUGGUUGUUGAAUAUGAUUAUUCAGAUUCUGCGUUGCUGGUAAAAAUACUUUUUGUUCUUUCGCAUGGUUAGCAUGCGUGUUCGUAUCUCUUUUUGAUCUCCUUGACACUGAUUUACAGGCCUGCACUCAGUGUUUGGUAGCCAUGAUCCACAUCUGCACUGCAUAUGUCUGUUAGAAAACCCUCAGAUAAACUGUACAAAGGUCAACUUUGAUAUAAAACCUGCACAUUUGUUGGUUCAGAUUGAAAACCUUUCCUGUGGGAUAAUAUGCUGCAAAGCAGCUGCAACAUGGUGUUCAUUGUUGUAGUAUGCUGCUACAAUAACAGAUUUUUUUUUUUUGAUAGUGAGGUUCAAAUCAAAACUGGCUUUUCAAUCUGUUAUGAUAGCUCUGGAAUGUGGAAGUUGUCCUUCUUUGGAUGUUGAGUUGAGCAAUUGUAUUGCAACGUUAAUAAAAUUCUUUUAAUGAGAAUGUUUUGGUGUCUUGAUUUAAGACAAUAUCACUCAUAUUUGUUAUGCUGUUUUAAGAAAUUAUGUCUCUUUUUAAAUACUUUUAUGCUCAUUAUCAAUCCCAGAUUAAGGUGACAAUUCUUAAAUUUAAGUCAGUAACCA
Long non-coding RNA from Gasterosteus aculeatus aculeatus (three-spined stickleback), 10385 nucleotides. NCBI's taxonomy places the organism in Eukaryota, Metazoa, Chordata, Actinopteri, Perciformes, Gasterosteidae. The record is from Ensembl.